UUACGGCUAUGUCACGUUGAAACACCAGUUCUUAUAUGAACACCGAAGUUAAGCAACGUUGAGCCUGGUCAGCACCUAGAUAGAUGAGCACUUGGGAAAGCCAGGUGC
Molecule: non-coding RNA, 108 nt
Organism: Acanthosepion pharaonis
Lineage: Eukaryota; Metazoa; Mollusca; Cephalopoda; Sepiida; Sepiidae
Source: the annotation of a GenBank genome assembly